CCUACGGGGGGCAGCAGUCGAGAAUCAUUCACAAUGGGGGAAACCCUGAUGGUGCGACGCCGCGUGGGGGAAUGAAGGUCUUCGGAUUGUAAACCCCUGUCAUGUGGGAGCAAAUUAGAAAGAUAGUACCACAAGAGGAAGAGACGGCUAACUCUGUGCCAGCAGCCGCGGUAAUACAGAGGUCUCAAGCGUUGUUCGGAAUCACUGGGCGUAAAGCGUGCGUAGGCUGUUUCGUAAGUCGUGUGUGAAAGGCGCGGGCUCAACCCGCGGACGGCACAUGAUACUGCGAGACUAGAGUGAUGGAGGGGGAACCGGAAUUCUCGGUGUAGCAGUGAAAUGCGUAGAUAUCGAGAGGAACACUCGUGGCGAAGGCGGGUUCCUGGACAUUAACUGACGCUGAGGCACGAAGGCCAGGGGAGCGAAAGGGAUUAGAUACCCCAGUAGUC
This 446-nucleotide ribosomal RNA is filed under the name uncultured bacterium. RNAcentral describes it as "partial 16S ribosomal RNA". It matches the Rfam family "Bacterial small subunit ribosomal RNA", at positions 338 to 795 of the family's 1533-position model. The record is from RNAcentral.